This 200-nucleotide long non-coding RNA is filed under the name Musa acuminata (dwarf banana). RNAcentral's name for it is "long non-coding RNA (MACU_LNC010059)". The record is from RNAcentral. Lineage: Eukaryota; Viridiplantae; Streptophyta; Magnoliopsida; Zingiberales; Musaceae.
AUAAAUUGAUUUCCCAUCGAAUCUUUUUAAGUUUAGUAUAUUGCUAGACAUGAUGUAUAGCACUUAUCUUAAAGUUGAUUUUGUUGGUGUCACGUAAAUUAGUAGAAUUUGUAAACAUAAUAAUAUCUUUCUCCAUAGUCUUUGGGAUUGAUUUUGUUUAAAAAGAGAAUUGAAUAUCUUUCUCUGUCUCCCCCCUUUAA